GCUACCAGGCUGGGAUCACAGGUAUGCAUCACACUUCUCUUAACACACCCCGGGGCCCAAACAGGUCUCCACGUCAUUGGAAUACUCUCAACAUCUGGCUUCCUACAUGGCAGCUCAGUGGUCCAGGGGCUCAUGGAGAGACAGAAACAAAGGAAGUUAGACUGGCCUCCAGUUCACAGAGGUCCGCCUGCCUGUACCUCCCAAGUGCUGGAAUUAGAGGCUUGUGUCACCACACCCAGCUCUUAAGGUAUAAUUUGCGGCUGUCACUGGAAGAGUCUCAUCGCUGCCAUCUUCAGCCUCGGACCCAAGGCAGAAGUGGAGAGAAACAGAAAGUAGAGGAAGAAAAAGUGUGGAGAGAGAAGGCCGUAGGCAGGCUGAGAGAGAUGAAUUGAUCAAAAGUCCCCCCCCCCCGGAACCCUGUGGUGGUCUGUCCCUCCACAGUGGGAGCCACAGCUGGCCUCCGGAGCAAGACAAGGCAAAUUUAAGAAGUCUCCCCGCCACGCACCCCAGAACAGAUGGUCGCUCUCUUCCAAGCUACACUGCCUAACAUGACUCCCCAGGUUUAGCAGGCCAUAGCUAUACCCAUUCCAGGCAAAAAACUCCAGGGAGGUCACAAUCAAAUCACAGUUUUUAUGUUAUUGAUUUGGCCCAAGUUGAUAUUGCUCCAUCUGGUUGGAAUAAAAGAUGCAUUUUUCUCGUUGUA
This is a long non-coding RNA of Meriones unguiculatus (Mongolian gerbil), 703 nucleotides long. RefSeq lists it as uncharacterized. The record is from RefSeq and is a predicted model, not a curated record. The transcript is spliced from 3 exons. Lineage: Eukaryota; Metazoa; Chordata; Mammalia; Rodentia; Muridae.